RNAcentral lists this long non-coding RNA (1133 nucleotides) under Monodelphis domestica (gray short-tailed opossum). Its description in RNAcentral is "lncRNA (ENSMODG00000047693.1)". Lineage: Eukaryota; Metazoa; Chordata; Mammalia; Didelphimorphia; Didelphidae. The record is from RNAcentral.
CUUGGGCCCAUUUUUAUUACCUUUCAGGUUUUACUUUUUUUGGGGGGUCAUUCUUCCUUGAUUACAAGAGAGAUUUAGGGGACUGCUUUUACACAUCUCACAUACUGACUUCUGCCUCUUGGAUUUUGCUUCUCUUGGUUCCUGAUGCCAAAUGGGGCUGGGAUAGAAAUGCCAGGAUGAAAGUUUUAAGGAGGGAGGAUAGAUUUCAAGAACAAACCAAGAAAAUAUCAGCAGGUUAUGUUCUAUGAAUUGUGGCACCUUAGAGUGAGAGGUGCUUCCCUACACCUGGUGGUAUCUUCAGCACAGGUUCCACCAACACAGCCUCCUCCAAAGCUAAAGCAGGAAUCUCUGGAACCAAUCUCUCCAGAACCCAGGAAAGGAAGGCCAGCUACUCACCCAUCCAAGAUGAACUCCAAAGGAGAAGACUGAAGGCCAAGUCCCAAGGUGAAAUCCUCCAACUACUGAAGUACAAAGGAGAAGAUCCAGGAGCAGUCCUCCAAGAAGCAAUCCAAGAGCCAAGGUCAAAGUUCCAAGGUCCCUUGGACAGGAAGUUCAGGACUUUUUAUAGUCCUUUUCCCACACCACUUCCUGUCCCUUCCUCCACUUUAUAGGAACCAAUUGCAGCCUUUCAACUUGCCUAGCACUGCCCAGGGGCAGGGCAGUAGCCUCUGGAGUUGUCACCCACUUUAGCAAGUGACUUGCGAAUUCUCUUACUUAGUGUUAAGUAGAGAUGUUUCAUUGUUAUAUUGAUUAAUUUAAAAGUUGCUGAUUGAUAGACAAAGAAAGUUUGAUUCACUCUUCACUAUAUAUUGUAAGGGGUAAAUAUAUAUAUAUAUAUAAAAUUUAUCUAUGAACUCCUUAAGGUUCACAAAAUGGUUUACAGCUCAUUUUGCUGUUGGCACCCCUUGAUGUAUAUGUCUUUGGGAUAUAUGAAGUUCUGAAUGAUAUGGGCCAUGAACCCCUGGGAGGCAUGUUCACCUUCAUGGCAUGCCAUCUCAUUUGUUCUUUCCAGGUCUCUUUUUUUCUCAUCCAUAAAAUGAGAAGGUUGGACUAAUAUGUAAUGGAAAGAACAAUGGAUUUGAGGUUAAAAGAUAUGGAAAACAUGGACUUCAAUCCUAGACCUGCUAUUCACC